This is a small nuclear RNA of Sitophilus oryzae (rice weevil), 105 nucleotides long. Lineage: Eukaryota; Metazoa; Arthropoda; Insecta; Coleoptera; Curculionidae. The record is from RefSeq and is a predicted model, not a curated record.
UCAAACUUGCUUGAAUGUACUCAUUUCGGCGGAAAGAUACAGAGAAGGAUAGCAUGGCCCCUGCACAAGGAUGACACGCAAAAUCGUAAAGCGUUCCACAUUUUU